AAAUCGUAACAAGGUUUCCGUAGGUGAACCUGCGGAAGGAUCAUUACUGAACUGUCGACACGAGUUGUUGCUGGUCCUCAAUGGGGGCAUGUGCACACUCUGUUUACACACCCACUCACACCUGUGCACCCUCUGUAGUUCUGUGGUGUGGAGGACUCUGUCCUCCCACUGUGGUUCUGCUUCUUUACACACACACAGUCAUAAAGUCUUAUGGAAUGUAUGUCGCGUUUAACGCAAUAUAAUACAACUUUCAGCAACGGAUCUCUUGGCUCUCGCAUCGAUGAAGAACGCAGCGAAAUGCGAUAAGUAAUGUGAAUUGCAGAAUUCAGUGAAUCAUCGAAUCUUUGAACGCACCUUGCGCCCUUUGGCUAUUCCGAAGGGCAUGCCUGUUUGAGUAUCAUGAACACCUCAACUCUCAUGGUUUGCCAUGAUGAGCUUGGACUUUGGGGGUCUUGCUGGCCUACGGUCAGCUCCUCUAAAAUGAAUCAGCUUGCCAGUGUUUGGUGUGGCAUCACAGGUGUGAUAACUAUCUACGCUUGUGGCUUUCAUCAGAUAACCUUCAGUGAUGGAGGUUCGCUGGGGCUCAUAAAUGUCUCUCCUCAGUGGGGACAGCU
This 614-nucleotide ribosomal RNA is filed under the name uncultured Tomentella. RNAcentral describes it as "eukaryotic LSU rRNA". The stretch from base 246 to 400 matches the Rfam family "5.8S ribosomal RNA". The record is from RNAcentral. Lineage: Eukaryota; Fungi; Basidiomycota; Agaricomycetes; Thelephorales; Thelephoraceae.